RNAcentral lists this ribosomal RNA (935 nucleotides) under uncultured Bacillus sp. RNAcentral describes it as "bacterial SSU rRNA". It matches the Rfam family "Bacterial small subunit ribosomal RNA", at positions 55 to 975 of the family's 1533-position model. The record is from RNAcentral. Lineage: Bacteria; Bacillati; Bacillota; Bacilli; Caryophanales; Bacillaceae.
UAGCAGUCGAGCGGACAGAUGGGAGCUUGCUCCCUGAUGUUAGCGGCGGACGGGUGAGUAACACGUGGGUAACCUGCCUGUAAGACUGGGAUAACUCCGGGAAACCGGGGCUAAUACCGGAUGGUUGUUUGAACCGCAUGGUUCAGACAUAAAAGGUGGCUUCGGCUACCACUUACAGAUGGACCCGCGGCGCAUUAGCUAGUUGGUGAGGUAACGGCUCACCAAGGCAACGAUGCGUAGCCGACCUGAGAGGGUGAUCGGCCACACUGGGACUGAGACACGGCCCAGACUCCUACGGGAGGCAGCAGUAGGGAAUCUUCCGCAAUGGACGAAAGUCUGACGGAGCAACGCCGCGUGAGUGAUGAAGGUUUUCGGAUCGUAAAGCUCUGUUGUUAGGGAAGAACAAGUGCCGUUCAAAUAGGGCGGCACCUUGACGGUACCUAACCAGAAAGCCACGGCUAACUACGUGCCAGCAGCCGCGGUAAUACGUAGGUGGCAAGCGUUGUCCGGAAUUAUUGGGCGUAAAGGGCUCGCAGGCGGUUUCUUAAGUCUGAUGUGAAAGCCCCCGGCUCAACCGGGGAGGGUCAUUGGAAACUGGGGAACUUGAGUGCAGAAGAGGAGAGUGGAAUUCCACGUGUAGCGGUGAAAUGCGUAGAGAUGUGGAGGAACACCAGUGGCGAAGGCGACUCUCUGGUCUGUAACUGACGCUGAGGAGCGAAAGCGUGGGGAGCGAACAGGAUUAGAUACCCUGGUAGUCCACGCCGUAAACGAUGAGUGCUAAGUGUUAGGGGUUUCCGCCCCUUAGUGCUGCAGCUAACGCAUUAAGCACUCCGCCUGGGGAGUACGGUCGCAAGACUGAAACUCAAAGGAAUUGACGGGGCCCGCACAAGCGUGGAGCAUGUGGUUUAAUUCGAAGCAACGCGAAGAACCUUACC